RNAcentral lists this ribosomal RNA (253 nucleotides) under uncultured bacterium. RNAcentral describes it as "partial 16S ribosomal RNA". It matches the Rfam family "Archaeal small subunit ribosomal RNA", at positions 474 to 727 of the family's 1478-position model. The record is from RNAcentral.
UACCCGCAGCACAAGUGGUGGUCAUUAUUAUUGGGCCUAAAGCGUCCGUAGCUGGCGUGUUAGAUGCCUGGGUAAAUCGAUGCGCUCAACGCAUCGAAUUCCGAGUAGACCGGCACGCUCGAGACCGGGAGAGGCGUAGGGUACUCGGGGGGUAGGGGUAAAAUCCUGUAAUCCUCCGGGGACGACCAGUGGCGAAGGCGCUACGCUAGAACGGCUCUGACAGUGAGGGACGAAGCCCUGGGGCGCAAACCGG